RNAcentral lists this long non-coding RNA (661 nucleotides) under Mus musculus (house mouse). Its description in RNAcentral is "predicted gene, 48495". The record is from RNAcentral. Lineage: Eukaryota; Metazoa; Chordata; Mammalia; Rodentia; Muridae.
UUCGGUAAGGACAGGCUCCCUGUGUGGGAUGCCCCAAGACACCAAGCAGGCAGAUUUGUGACCUAGAAGAUGUUUUCCUACCACCAGGCUUGUCAAGCACCCCUAGACCACCUAUCUUUCCCACCUGUGGGAGUAAGGGGCUUGGGGGACACCCUCACGUUGCCCAGAGCGGGCUGCAUGCCUGAACGGGCCCCGGGAACCGCCCGCCUAGCUCUCCACAGAAAUCUACCUCUCCAGCCAGUGGCAACUCAGGACAUCUAAGGGGUCGGAAUUGGUUUGGCCAAGAGGCUGCGGACCCAGAAGAGGCCACGAGGAGGGCAGAGCGCAGGAAGGACCGACAGAAGCGCCAGGAGCAGCAAGCCGAAGCUGGGGGAGGGGAAGCGGGGAGCACCCAGCCUCUUGAGUAAGGGUCCCAUUACUUCCGAAGUCCCGCAGCCUCUUGGGGGGGGGGCGCCCACCCACAGGUGGCCCAGCUUGGAUAAAGGGUCUUGCGCGCGCGUGGGCCUCUCUCCUUUGCAUCCUGCAAGAGAUGUGUGGUGCAACCCAGGUGCCCCCCCCUCCAGCUUGAUUGGGGACCAGGCCUGGAGUGCGCGGCCCAGCUCGAUCCUUCCCUUUUGCAGCUGGGCACGGUCUCCCCGCGUCGCCUCUAGGUUCCCCGUUG